GGGAAAGUAGCUCAGUUGGUAGAGCAGGUAAGAAAACCCAAAUUACUGUAUUGUAAUUUCACAGCAACCAUACUUCAUCCACUUUUAAUGGCCUGGUCGUUGGUUCAAAUCCAACCUUUCCCA
RNAcentral lists this transfer RNA (123 nucleotides) under Cronobacter phage vB_CsaM_GAP32. It matches the Rfam family "tRNA". Rfam says of the family: Transfer RNA (tRNA) molecules are approximately 80 nucleotides in length. Lineage: Duplodnaviria; Heunggongvirae; Uroviricota; Caudoviricetes. The record is from Rfam by way of RNAcentral.